UCCGAUAUGGUAUAGUGGCCAACAUGAUGCCCUCUCAUUAACUUGCAAGGCUAGGCAUAGCCCCGAGUUCGAUUCUCGGUUUCGGAA
Molecule: transfer RNA, 87 nt
Filed under: Colletotrichum fructicola Nara gc5
Lineage: Eukaryota; Fungi; Ascomycota; Sordariomycetes; Glomerellales; Glomerellaceae
Description: tRNA-Glu for anticodon CUC
Rfam family: tRNA
About the family: Transfer RNA (tRNA) molecules are approximately 80 nucleotides in length. Their secondary structure includes four short double-helical elements and three loops (D, anti-codon, and T loops). Further hydrogen bonds mediate the characteristic L-shaped molecular structure. tRNAs have two regions of fundamental functional importance: the anti-codon, which is responsible for specific mRNA codon recognition, and the 3' end, to which the tRNAs corresponding amino acid is attached (by aminoacyl-tRNA synthetases). tRNAs cope with the degeneracy of the genetic code in two manners: having more than one tRNA (with a specific anti-codon) for a particular amino acid; and 'wobble' base-pairing, i.e. permitting non-standard base-pairing at the 3rd anti-codon position.
Source: RNAcentral